GAUGAACGCUGGCGGCGUGCCUAAUACAUGCAAGUCGAGCGAACGGGCGAGGAGCUUGCUGCUCUGAUGUUAGCGGAGGACGGGUGAAUCACACGUGUAUAACCUCCCUAUAAGACUGGGAUCACUUCGAGAAACCGUAGCUAAUCCCGGAUAAUCUUUUGAACCGCAUGGGUCAAUAGUGAAAGACGGUGUUGCUGGCACUUCUAGCGGGAUACGGGCUGCAUUAGCUAGUUGGUAAGGUAACGGCUUACCAAGGCAACGAUGCAUAGCCGACCUGUGAGGGUGGUAGGCCACACUGGAACUGAGACACGGUCCAGACGCCUGCGGGAGGCAGCAGUAGGGAAUCGUCCGCAACGGGGGAAAGCCUUACGGAGCAACGCCGCGUGAGUGACGAAGGUCCUCCGAUCGGAAAACUCUGUUAUGAGGGAAGAACAUAUUUGUAAGGAACUGUGCAGAGCUUGACGGUACCUAAUCAGAAAGCCACGGCUAACUACGUG
Molecule: ribosomal RNA, 497 nt
Filed under: uncultured bacterium
Lineage: Bacteria
Description: partial 16S ribosomal RNA
Rfam family: Bacterial small subunit ribosomal RNA
Source: RNAcentral